CUUAGUGGCGAAUGGGUGAGUAACACGUGCUUAAUCUACCUUUGAAAUUGAAAUAACAUUUGGAAACAAAUGCUAAUGUCAAAUAUUUAAUUUAAUCGCAUGAUUUUAUUAUGAAAGAAGCCUCAAAGCUUCGCUUAAAAAUGAGAGUGCGCAACAUUAGUUAGUUGGUAGGGUAAAGGCCUACCAAGACGAUGAUGUUUAGCAGGGCUGAGAAGCUGAACUGCCACACUGGGACUGAGAUACGGCCCAGACUCCUACGGGAGGCAGCAGUAAGGAAUAUUCCACAAUGAGCGAAAGCUUGAUGGAGCGACACAGCGUGCAGGAUGAAGGUCUUUGGAUUGUAAACUGCUGUUAUAAGGAAAGAAUUGCUAAAAGAGGAAAUGCUUUUAGAGUGACGGUACCUUAUUAGAAAGCGAUGGCUAACUAUGUGCCAGCAGCCGCGGUAAUACAUAGGUCGCAAGCGUUAUCCGGAAUUAUUGGGUGUAAAGCGUUCGUAGGUGGUCUGUUAAGUUUAAAGUUAAAUGUCAGAGCUCAACUUUGACCCGCUUUAGAUACUGGCAGACUAGAGUUAUAGAGAGGUUAACAGAAUUUCAUGUGAAGCGGUGAAAUGCGUAGAUAUAUGAAAGAAUACCAAUAGCGAAGGCAGUUAACUGGAUAUAUACUGACACUCAAGAACUAAAGCGUGGGGAGCAAACAGGAUUAGAUACCCUGGUAGUCCACGCCCUAAACGAUGAUCAUUAGUUGGUAGAGAUUUUACUAACGCAGCUAACGCAUUAAAUGAUCCACCUGAGUAGUAUGCUCGCAAGAGUGAAACUUAAAGGAAUUGACGGGGACCCGCACAAGCGGUGGAGCAUGUGGUUUAAUUUGAGAUACGCGGAGAACCUUACCCAC
RNAcentral lists this ribosomal RNA (891 nucleotides) under uncultured Mycoplasma sp. Its description in RNAcentral is "bacterial SSU rRNA". It matches the Rfam family "Bacterial small subunit ribosomal RNA", at positions 91 to 978 of the family's 1533-position model. The record is from RNAcentral. Lineage: Bacteria; Bacillati; Mycoplasmatota; Mollicutes; Mycoplasmatales; Mycoplasmataceae.